Molecule: ribosomal RNA, 372 nt
Filed under: uncultured organism
Description: partial 16S ribosomal RNA
Rfam family: Bacterial small subunit ribosomal RNA
Source: RNAcentral
GUAGGGUGCAAGCGUUAUCCGGAAUCAUUGGGCGUAAAGAGCUCGUAGGCGGUUCAGCAAGUCGGCUGUGAAAUCCCGAGGGCUUAACCUCGGAACUGCAGUCGAUACUGCUGUGACUAGAGUCCGGUAGAGGAGAAUGGAAUUCCCGGUGUAGCGGUGAAAUGCGCAGAUAUCGGGAGGAACACCAGUAGCGAAGGCGGUUCUCUGGGCCGGUACUGACGCUGAGGAGCGAAAGCGUGGGUAGCAAACAGGAUUAGAUACCCUGGUAGUCCACGCCGUAAACGUUGGACACUAGUGUGGCGUUCCGACCAACGGGUGCCGUGCCGAAGCUAACGCAUUAAGUGUCCCGCCUGGGAGUACGGCCGCAAGGCU